GGAUCCAGACUUUGAUCAUGGCUCAGGAUGAACGCUAGCUACAGGCUUAACACAUGCAAGUCGAGGGGAAACGACAUCGAAAGCUUGCUUUUGAUGGGCGUCGACCGGCGCACGGGUGAGUAACGCGUAUCCAACCUGCCCACCACUUGGGGAUAACCUUGCGAAAGUAAGACUAAUACCCAAUGAUAUCUCUAGAAGACAUCUGAAAGAGAUUAAAGAUUUAUCGGUGAUGGAUGGGGAUGCGUCUGAUUAGCUUGUUGGCGGGGUAACGGCCGACCAAGGCAACGAUCAGUAGGGGUUCUGAGAGGAAGGUCCCCCACAUUGGAACUGAGACACGGUCCAAACUCCUACGGGAGGCAGCAGUGAGGAAUAUUGGUCAAUGGACGAGAGUCUGAACCAGCCAAGUAGCGUGCAGGAUGACGGCCCUAUGGGUUGUAAACUGCUUUUAUA
This 450-nucleotide ribosomal RNA is filed under the name uncultured Bacteroidota bacterium. Its description in RNAcentral is "bacterial SSU rRNA". It matches the Rfam family "Bacterial small subunit ribosomal RNA", at positions 1 to 440 of the family's 1533-position model. Lineage: Bacteria; Pseudomonadati; Bacteroidota. The record is from RNAcentral.